RNAcentral lists this ribosomal RNA (404 nucleotides) under Actinomycetes bacterium. RNAcentral describes it as "Actinobacteria bacterium partial 16S ribosomal RNA". It matches the Rfam family "Bacterial small subunit ribosomal RNA", at positions 355 to 776 of the family's 1533-position model. Lineage: Bacteria; Bacillati; Actinomycetota; Actinomycetes. The record is from RNAcentral.
UGGGGAAUAUUGGACAAUGGGCGCAAGCCUGAUCCAGCCAUGCCGCGUGAGUGAUGAAGGCCCUAGGGUUGUAAAGCUCUUUCACCGGUGAAGAUAAUGACGGUAACCGGAGAAGAAGCCCCGGCUAACUUCGUGCCAGCAGCCGCGGUAAUACGAAGGGGGCUAGCGUUGUUCGGAUUUACUGGGCGUAAAGCGCACGUAGGCGGACUUUUAAGUCAGGGGUGAAAUCCCGGGGCUCAACCCCGGAACUGCCUUUGAUACUGGAAGUCUUGAGUAUGGUAGAGGUGAGUGGAAUUCCGAGGGUAGAGGUGAAAUUCGUAGAUAUUCGGAGGAAAACCAGUGGCGAAGGCGGCUCACUGGCUCGAUACUGACGCUGAGGUGCGAAAGCGUGGGGAGCAAACAGG